AAGCAACAAGACACAGUGGACUGGAAAGAGGCUACUUGAAGAAGAAAGGCACCAGAACAAGUCAAGAAUCGGCGAGACCGGGCAAAAUUAGUCUUUCUUAGUUUUUGCUCUGUUCUCGUUACACGACAAGGAGCAAAGAGAGGCAGCUGUACAAGCCCAAUUUAUGCCCGGGCCGAAUAAGCCCAAUAACAAAACACCAACCCAAAACAAAAAACUAGCAAAAAAAUAAAAAAAUAAAACCCUAGGCGCCGCACCUAGGUCCGCGCCACUGCUCUGCCACUGCCGCACCUAACCCCUGACCACCUGUCGCCGCGCCACCUACUCCAUCAACAUCAAUCACCUGCAA
RNAcentral lists this long non-coding RNA (346 nucleotides) under Gossypium raimondii (Peruvian cotton). RNAcentral's name for it is "long non-coding RNA (GRAI_LNC010444)". The record is from RNAcentral. Lineage: Eukaryota; Viridiplantae; Streptophyta; Magnoliopsida; Malvales; Malvaceae.